Molecule: ribosomal RNA, 208 nt
Filed under: uncultured bacterium
Lineage: Bacteria
Description: partial 16S ribosomal RNA
Rfam family: Bacterial small subunit ribosomal RNA
Source: RNAcentral
UGCGCAGGCGGUUAUUUAAGUCAGGUGUGAAAUCCCCGGGCUUAACCUGGGAAUGGCGCUUGAGACUGGAUAGCUUGGAGUGCGGCAGAGGGAGGUGGAAUUCCACGUGUAGCAGUGAAAUGCGUAGAGAUGUGGAGGAACACCGAUGGCGAAGGCAGCCUCCUGGGCCAGCACUGACGCUCAUGCACGAAAGCGUGGGGAGCAAACA